UAGUCGGAUUUAUAUCAAUC
RNAcentral lists this microRNA (20 nucleotides) under Sorghum bicolor (sorghum). Its description in RNAcentral is "sbi-miR5565f". Lineage: Eukaryota; Viridiplantae; Streptophyta; Magnoliopsida; Poales; Poaceae. The record is from miRBase by way of RNAcentral.